Long non-coding RNA from Gopherus evgoodei (Goodes thornscrub tortoise), 2427 nucleotides. RefSeq lists it as uncharacterized. The record is from RefSeq and is a predicted model, not a curated record. The transcript has 2 exons. NCBI's taxonomy places the organism in Eukaryota, Metazoa, Chordata, Testudines, Testudinidae.
GGUGCAUGGAUUGGGAGGGUGCAGGGGGUCAGAUGCAGGGGAUGGGGAUGCAGGUGGGGGGGGUGCAUGGGCAGUAUACACUGUUGCCUUGGCUCCCUCCAACAGAAGGGGAAAGGUCAGAGCCUGGGCUUGCCCCUACCCUGCAGGGUGUGGGAAAUUCCCUAUGCGCCUUCUGCAAACCCAUCCCGGGACUCCCAGGCACAGAAGCCUGUUGGUGGGGAGCUGCCUAGCCCGGGCCUUUGUUCCUUGGCUGGGUGGCUAGAGCGUGGCUGCUGCACAUGGACUCAGUACGCAUGGUGACUCCAAGUUCAAAUAUUUCAGCACGAGCGAAAGGUGGAAAAACCACUUGGCCCAAUUCAUGGCUAUUGUGAGAAAGUUUGCGAAUGUGGCGAAUUGAGACAGAGCUGCAGAAUUUGCAAAGAACAAGCGAGUGGGCCAACCGAGAUCUCAGGCGGGGAGCCUUUUUGCUGAAUGCAUGGAAAGAAGAAGGAGAGGCCCAGAACGGACUGACUUUGGCUAAACAUCUGUGAGUGUUAGACUCAGACUCUGAGGAUGAAGGUACUGAUAUUGCUGCAUUGCCAAGUACAUCAGAAGGAAGCUGGAUCCAGGUCAGCCAAAGACAAAGAGCAGGAAGUAUUAUGUUGUUUUCAAUCAUAAAUGCUUUUGUAACAAAAACAACUCCAGAACUUAAACAAAAGAGAGACUGGAAAAUUGCUAAUUUUUUUUAAAGCUGUAAUAUUCCCUUUUCUGUUAUUGAGCAUCCAACUUUUCUAGCAAUGAGCAGCUGCCUAUGGCCAGGCAACCAAGACCCAGUCAAAAGCAGGUAGCAGGUAAACAGUGAAAUGAAGUUACUGAUGGCUUGAGGGGCGGAAGCAUGCAACACAUUAAAUGGAAAAGCAGUUACAUUAUGGCUGGCGUAAUGUGCACAACCAGUGAUUGCUAACUGUAUGCAAACAGGGAAGACUGUACUUCGUGCAUCAGUGGUUGAUACUGGAUGGAAUGAGAAGACAGGACUGGACAGGACAGUGCUAUGCUACCCUGGCAAGAGAAGCCAAGGCAUUAGCAAAUGAACUGUACGGUUGCAUUGUGAAGAGCUACAUGACAGAAAACAAGAGAAAGAUGCAAAGUCUGACGAGUGAUUUGGAAGAAGGUGACGGCACUUGAGUAAUGUAUGGAUGUGCAUCAUAUUGACUCAAUCUACUUGGACAAGAACGUAAACCAAGUGCUUUGAUGAAAUGUUGUAGAUUGCCAAAAGUAUUUUGGCAAUUGUGUGCAGCCUGGAACUUGGCUAAAAGAAUGCCAAAUCCCCAGUGACACGAUGGAACAAUCAGAUAACAUGCCUGAAAACGUAUGUUAAAGUCGGCCAUAUUAUGUCAGAAUGAUUUAGUUGGGGAUUGGUCCUGCUUUGAGCAGGGGGUUGGAAUAGAUGACCUCCUGAGGUCCCCCAACCCUGGUAUUCUAUGAUUCUAGGACAGUGAGAAAUUGUGAGGCAGAAUUUGAAGAUAGAGCAAUCAGUAUAAUUAAUACUCAAGGAAUUUUCCAAGAAGCAAAGAACCUGAUCGCUCAGUUGAAACCAGUUGCUGUGGCACUUGACUCACUUCAAAAGGACACAUAUCAACAGUUGCUGUUACAGAUGAAGUAUGGUUGGAUCUGCAGAUAAAUGAAGAUCUUGCACCGCAUAAAGCAAAAGUACAAAAGAGAGGUCAUGAGGCAAUUACUCCUGUACACAUGUUGAUCAACCAUACGCAGGAAAAAAAAUUGUCAGCUGAACAAGAAUAUAUUUCAAGGCAGUGGGUGCUUGGCAAAAAUCCAGAUGUUGUGCCAUAUUUACUUGCCUUUAAAGCAGAAGAAUCUCUUGAUUCAAAAAUCUGCGUUUUUCAUCCGCUAUGAAGAAAAAGGAUGGAAAAAUCUGAAGGCUGCUGAUAGUCCAUCUAACUUCAUAGAACUGGUGGUGCAAUUGCAUCAGUGCCCAGAAAGUGCAGGAAGCAUAGAAUGAAUUUGAAACUUUGGAUACAUCCAUUCAUAACUGAAGAAUGGGCUCGGUCUAUCCGCUGCGUCAGAGUUGGUCUCCUGCUGCAGAAUGCUGCAUGGCCAAAUGGACCCAGACCGGCAGCCUGUAACUCUGCAUGCUUCUGAUUGCAUAAUGUGUCAAGCUAGCACCUCUGCAUUACUGUCGCUUUCUUAUCAUCAAGUGUUUUUAAUUAUUUGUAUAAUCAAAACCGAAAUGAGUCAUGAUCUGUAUGAUUUCCUUGAGGAAAACACCAAACCAAAUCAGACACAGGCAUUCUGACAUUCCUAAUCACAUACAUUCGUAUUAUGCCCUGUGUAGUUUUACUUUUUAUUUGUACAACCCUAAAUUAAUCACUGAAUCUACUGCCAUAUGGAACCAUAAUUUGAAUAUGUAAAUAAACCAAGUAUAAAGUGGUA